RNAcentral lists this long non-coding RNA (5185 nucleotides) under Salvia miltiorrhiza (redroot sage). Its description in RNAcentral is "long non-coding RNA (SMIL_LNC008208)". Lineage: Eukaryota; Viridiplantae; Streptophyta; Magnoliopsida; Lamiales; Lamiaceae. The record is from RNAcentral.
UCUCACUCUUUUCUCUCUCUACCUCCAUUGUUAACCAAGUUCCAAGCUUCAUAGAUCAUUUCUAUGUUAUAAUCUCCACCAAAAUCAAAGUAUAAACUUCAUAAUCCUUGAAUCAAGAGCAACUUUGGAAUAUUUUAAAGCUUGAAGUCAAGAACGAGGAAUUUUAUUUUCUACUCAAGAAUCAUUGAGUAAGUGCUAGAUCUACUUAGAUCUAUAUAUUUGAGUUAGAUAUGAGUAUAUAUUGAUAGAUCAAGUAGAAAACAUCACCCACUUCAUUCUUGCAAUUUUCAAAAUUAGGGUUCAUACCCCUUCAAAAAUUCAUCAUCUAAUCUUAAAUUGAGAUUAUAUUCAUGCUAUUGAGAUCCUAUUUAGUCCAUUUUACAUGCAAAGCAUGAAUUUAAAAUGAUAAAUGAAUGUUUGAAUAAGUUAAUUACAUGAUCUAGAAAGGUUGAAGUUAUGGAUGAAUUGUUGAUUUGAUUAUGAAUAUGAGCUAGUGAGAGUGUUGAGAUGAUAUUUGAUGGACGAAAAUGAUGAUUAAAGGUGUUUGAUGAAGAUUGAAGUGAGUUAGUUUGAUGAAAAAUAGGGUAUAGUUGGCUAUAUGCUUGAUGAAGUUAGCAAGUUGAUGAGUUAUUUUGAAAACCUUUAAAAAGCUACUGACUUGAUGAAUUUCAACAGGGUUCUUGAUACCCAAAAAUCUUGAAACUUUUAUGGUGCGUAUAUCAGAGUGUUAAAAUGCAAAACGCCAAUUGCAACUUUCUACCGAAAGUUUGGAAGAACAGACCUUAGAGUCACCCUUUUCAGUAGCUUCCCCUAAUUUUUUGCUUGCCGACCUUUUAUGGUAAAGAGAUUAAUGUGUUGUCUAACUACCCACAAAAUUUCAAGUCAUUUCGGCAAUGUUUACUAUUUUUCAAAAAUCAAAUUCUCCAGUUGCACGAAACUGCCGAAUAUGGUAGACUGUGGGAGAACGGUCAUAUCUCUUAAACCACUUGGAGUUUUUCAACCUACUUUUUUUAAAAUGAAACUAGACUUCAAAGAGGUUUCCAAUAGUAUGAGUCUCGAACCCAGGAGAGUUCUGAGGAGAAACAGUUUAUUCUCUUAAGUUAAGGCAGUGCAGAAAGAGUGAAUUGAAUAAGAUUUUGAUUAUGAGAUGAGAUAUGAAUUAAAGAUGCCUAUAUGUGGCUUAGUGAAGAUGAAUUGAGCUUAUACAUGAAAAAUGUAAUAAAAUGGCAUAACUUGUUUAUGUGAGUUAAUUUUUGAAUAAUUGGUUUAAGAAUGAUUUAUAAAAUAGAUUUUUGGGAAAUUUCCCCGACUAAAAAUAUUUUAUUUUUUUUUUCAAAAAUGAGUUGUGUAUGUGAUUGCUAUGUGCUUAUGGAUUGUUUAUCUAUGAGUUGUUCCUUGACAGAGCCUAGACCUAAAUUAGGUGAUAAGUCGAGAAUAGAAUAGUGAUUACUUAGAAAGUGUUUACGAUAUGAGAUCGAGUCAGACGGAGUGUAGAAAUGAGAAGUAAUGAAAUAAUACUAAGAUAGAAUGAUAUUCUUAGUAAGGAAGUUUCUGACAUCCUUUAUUUAACCAUGAACUAAUCCCAUGGAAUUUGAAGAUACCAGAAGAGGACGGAAGUAAGUCCACCCCGAACGCUACGAGAGUAAGCUAAGGACAUCAGGUGGGCAUUAUUUUUACUAUACGUAUAUAGAGAUCCCCUGCGUAUCGUAGGCCUCUUAUACGAAAUGAAGUAAAUGAUGUGAUUUAACUGUAAAUUUCAGUUUGAUGAAAAUUAUUACUGAUGAUGAUGUUUAUGAGUUUGAUAAAUAAUUUGAGAUUUAUUGAUGUUGAACUAAUUGACUUGCCGAGUUUUGAUGACGACGAGCCUGUAUGUCACCCUCUACUGAUGAGACGAAUUCGGAUCCUGCCACAAGCGGGAUUGUGUACACAGAGGUGAUCGUGAGCUGUCCUUUGGGUCGGCCGGUCACGGUACUUGAGAAGGAGGCCUACUUCUCAGUACCUUUAUGAUGAUGAUUUGUAGAUGUGGUACAUACAUAACGAGAAUUUUGACCGGUCAUUUAUUUAUGAUGUUUAUGAUUGUUAACUGCUUACACGGGUUCUUUUGAGUAAAAUCCCCGUGUAUUGCUUAUGUGGCAAGUUCAAUCUAUAGCUCUAAGAGCUAGUUUUCAUUGAUUUUCGGCUUAUGUCCACUGAGUAUUCUGUACUCAGCCCUGCAUGUAUUUCUAAACGUGCAGGAUAAGCGAGGAGGGAGAUUGGACUGGUGCUGGCAGGGAUUUUGUUUCAGAUAAUCUUCAUUAUACCGUAAUUAUAUUCCUUGCGGUAACAUCAAGAUGUUGAAGUUUAUUUUGAACUUAAUCAAGAAAUUUACUCUCGGCUAUAUGUCUUCAUACAUAUAGUCUUUUCGUAUUUUGCUGCGAUACUCUGUAUAUCCCGAGUCAUUGUGAGUAAUUAGCUAUGUCUACUUUGUAAAGGUUGACAAGAAUCUCAAUAAUUUAAAAGUUAUAAAGCCAAUAAUAUUUUUAUUGAUGAUGAUGUCAUCUUUCUUGAUUUAUCACGUUUCAGUGAUUGCUUCCGCUUGACGUGCAAUCUAGUUUUGUCUUUUGACCUUAUUAAUAUAUUUAGUCGUAUCGAUACCCGGUUUACGCUAUCACUGGCUAGGCGUCGGGCUGCGACAUAUUCUUAUUUUACUUUUAAUAUGUGUUUCUUGAUUGUGCAAAGAAUUUGAGUUUUAUUGCAACACGAUUGUAAGUAUGUAAAACGUGAUUUGUCCGGUAGAUGCUAGAAGGAGUGUUGUCAUUGUGAUUGCCUACGAUCGUAUCCUUAUCUGUGAAUAAUGCUGGACGAAUUGCCAUUUCUAAAAAUGUCAGCUCUGAAACAUAUGGCCAGCUCUGAAACGUGACAGCUCUGAGUCUCUGCUCCUCUGGUCUAACUAUGAGCAUGGGAAACCACGUGAAAAGACUUUGGAUUACAUCCAAAUGGUUUUUAUUUCAUGAAUUAUGGCUCAACUGUCCAAAAACUUAAGCACACAAAGUGUAAAAAAAAUGGUGAUAUUGAUUAUAAAGGCGAUCACAUUAGGGAAUUCACUUCUAGCGGAGAAUUGGGUAUGAUCGAAUUACUUGCAUUACUGUUUUGUUGCUUCGUAAACUUUAAGUUACUUGCAUGAUCAAGAGAUGUGUGUUGAUUGUAAAAUUUUGAAUUGACUUUGUGAAUGUUUGGAUGGAAAUAAGCAUCGUUGAAAUCAAUCUCUUCCUAAGAUUCAUAUUGAUUUUGCUUGAGGACAAGCUGAUUUAUGCUUAAUUGUUCUAAAUUUUGGGGUUUGCAUGUACUUUUUAAGUUAAAUCUUCUGAAAUGGUGCGUUUUAUGGUUAUUUUAUGCUUUUCGGAGAUUUAGUUUCGAGAUGAAAGUGCAAAUUUUGGAGAUUUGGGCUAAGAAUUACGUUUUUGUGCAUGCUCUGGCACGUCAGAGAAGUGAAGCCCCGCAUGCCAGAGCAGCGAAAAGGGAAGCCAGAGAAAUGCUCCAGAUCCAGAGAAGUCAUUCGCCAGAGCAGCGAAAUCACUAGUCAGAGAAGUCAUAAGCCAGGCCAGAGAAAUCAAUAUCCAGUGCAGCGAAAUCGAAAACGCCAGAGGAAUAUAAGCGCCAGCGGAAUCGCCAUCAGAGAAACCGGAGCCAGAGCGGAACCGUUCCUGGCGAGAGCCCGAUUUCCGCCAGGGUGGAGAUUAUUUCAGAGCGCGCGACACAGCUGGAAGUUGCCUUUCUUCACGAUUCUAUUGCCUUUAGAGUUCUACUUUGCAUGGCAACUUCCAUGGUGAUCCAUAGGGAUUCGAAGUCUAUAAAUAGGGCCAUACUUUUCAUUGUAAGAUCAUCGCUUGCCCUAGUUUUAGACGCCAUCUUUGCGAUCUGUUGGCAUCCGAAGCUUAGGAUUUACUUGCUUUCAUAGUUCUUUAUAGUUUUCAGAUUCAUUGUUUUAAGUUAGAUUUCAAUUCAGUUUUUAGUUUAUUCUUGGAUUGUGAUUGAGUGACACAAUUACAUGUUCAAGACGUUUACGGUAUUUCGUAUUUCAAUUCAAUUUAUUUCGUUUAAUCAUGUUUACGUUUUUCAUUCAAGUUCAUGCUUUCUUUUUAAUUAUGCAAUUUAAAUUAUGCACUUUAGUUUCACGCCUAGAUUAGAAGUCUUUAAAUUUACAAGUAUUUAAUUUCUUAAGUUAGGUUUAAUUUGAGUUGUUUAAAUUCUUGCCUAGGUUAAGUUUAAAUUCAAGUCAAGUUUAAUUUAAGUUUAAGUUUCAGUUUUUAAAUCAAAAUCUUUACUGCUUCCUUUUAUUGCUUUUUCCUACGAUACUACUAAGAGCCCUUAAAGACUUUCCUUGAGAGAUGACAUUGGGUCAACUUACCAUCACUAGGAUGUCCUUGUUCUAUUGCAAGUCAACUUAGAGGUGUUUCUAGUUGAGUCACAAGCAAAAGGCUAAGUGUGGGGGGUUGAUCAUGUGCAUAUUUAAGUUGAAUCUUCUGGAAAUUUGUGCGUUUUAUGGUUUGUUUUAUGCUUUGCAGGAGAUUUAGGUUUUAUAGAUGGAAGAGUGUAAUUUUGGAGAUUUUGGGUUUAGAAUGGCGUUUUUAAGAACACUCUGGUGUACAGAGCUGAAAAGCCCACGCCAGAGCUGAAAAGCCGCGCCAGAGCUGAAAAGCCCGCUGCAGAGCAGAGCAGAGAAGCUCGCCAGAGCAGAGCNUAGUUUUUAUUGAUUUUCGGCAUAUGUCCACUGAGUAUUCUGUACUCAGCCCUGCAUGUAUUUCUAAACGUGCAGGAUAAGCGAGGAGGGAGAUUGGACUGGUGCUGGCAGAGAUUUUGUUUCGGAUGAUCGUCAUUAUACCGUAAUUAUAUUCCUUGCGGUAACAUCAAGAUGUUGAGGUUUAUUUUGAACUUAAUCAAGAAAUUUACUCCCGGCUAUAUGUCUUCAUACAUAUAGUCUGUUCGCAUUUUGCUGCGAUACUCUGUAUAUCCCGAGUCAUUGUGAGUAAUUAGCUAUGUCUACUUUGUAAAGGUUGACAAGAAUCUCGAUGAUUUAAAAGUUAUAAAGCCAAUAAUAUUUUUAUUGAUGAUGAUGUCAUCUUUCUUGGUUUAUCACGUUUCAGUGAUUGCUUCCGCUUGACGUUCGAUCUAGUUUUCUCUUUUUACCUUAUUAAUUUAUUUAGUC